GGCAACAUAGCUCAGUUGGUAGAGCACCGCAUUGAAAAUGCGGGUGUCCCCGGUUCAAGUCCGGGUGUUGCCA
Molecule: transfer RNA, 73 nt
Filed under: Phycisphaerae bacterium
Lineage: Bacteria; Pseudomonadati; Planctomycetota; Phycisphaerae
Also listed under: 2 other names
Description: tRNA-Phe
Rfam family: tRNA
About the family: Transfer RNA (tRNA) molecules are approximately 80 nucleotides in length. Their secondary structure includes four short double-helical elements and three loops (D, anti-codon, and T loops). Further hydrogen bonds mediate the characteristic L-shaped molecular structure. tRNAs have two regions of fundamental functional importance: the anti-codon, which is responsible for specific mRNA codon recognition, and the 3' end, to which the tRNAs corresponding amino acid is attached (by aminoacyl-tRNA synthetases). tRNAs cope with the degeneracy of the genetic code in two manners: having more than one tRNA (with a specific anti-codon) for a particular amino acid; and 'wobble' base-pairing, i.e. permitting non-standard base-pairing at the 3rd anti-codon position.
Source: RNAcentral